RNAcentral lists this long non-coding RNA (1042 nucleotides) under Homo sapiens (human). RNAcentral's name for it is "HSALNT0095333". Lineage: Eukaryota; Metazoa; Chordata; Mammalia; Primates; Hominidae. The record is from RNAcentral.
AGAGGAUGAAGCAAAGCAGUAUCUGAAUACGUAAUGCACGCUGUUAUUUCUUUUGUGGAGAAAGACCUUGUGGUGGACAGCGACAUCAUGUGGCUAAACGUACAUGGGUCCACUUGCUCAUUCUUGAAGCCAGGAAAUGAAAUCAGCUCCACCUAAAUUAUGUGAACUGAAAAGUGGGAGGUUGGUUUUUAUGUGAACUGAAAAGUGGAGGUCAUGGCAUGUACCCAAAUUCUCCUGGAGCUUAAACAGAUGGCAGAUAGCUUCAGAACUGCUCGUUACAGCAUUAUGUAGUUGCAAAGCAAUUGCAUAUGUAUGAUACCCAGUAAUUAUUAUUUAAUCUAUAGCCAACAUUGACCACUGUUGACACAUAGAAGGAAUUAUACCUAGAAUCCAGAUGCUAGCUUCAGGAAACAUGGCUUGCUUGAGACAAUUUCUGCAAUCAUAUAAGGUAAUUAAUUAUACCGGAUAUUCAGAAUGACAUAUGUGGGGGUAUAAGAGGCAUUUUGUGCUGUUAUUUAGGAUUUCUGAGAAUAUGGAAUAUUUCCCCCUUCCCCCGGAGAUAGAAUACUAUUGCCAGAUAUGCAAGUACAUUUCCCCCACAACGGGGAAAAGAGAUUAAGAAGCCAUGCUCAGCAAAUAUCCUUCCUCCCACUGCACUUGAUAUCUCUUGGUACCUGUUUUGGGUCAAAGAUACCCCAAAAGACAUCACUUUUCUGAGGUUUAAAUAAGUGACCUUAUUUGGAAUAAAGGUCUUUGCAGAUGUAACAAAGAUGAGGAUCUUGAUAUGAGAUCAUCCUAGAUUACAGAAGGCCAUAAAUCCAAUGAUGGUUGCCCCUUAUAAAAGACAGAAAAAGAGAAGGCAUAUAGUAACACAGGAAAGAAGGAAAUGUGAAGACAGAGGCAGGAACUGGAGUUAUGCUGCCACAAGCCAAGCAAUGCCAAGAGCUACCAGAAGCUGGAAGAUCCAAGAAAAAAAUUUCCCCUAAAGUCUUCAGAAGAAAUGCGGCCCAGGAAACACGCUGAUUUUGGACUUCUGGCCUCC